UUCCUGAUGCACGCUAGUAGGAGCAGGUCAGGGAACUUGCACAUGCGCUCCUCUUCUUCUUGUUCUUCUCACAGUAUCUCUAGCACUUUUUUGUAACACACUGUGCGUUAGUGUAUUAAAAUGACUCCUAAAUUUCUUAGUAAUACAUAAAGAAACAGACUGAUCCCACGAUAUUGUGAGUGUCCUAAAAACAUACUGAUACCAUUAAAACAAAUGUUACUGUGACUACGCUAACUCCCCACCUUGUUGGUAACACGUCAAAAGCACAGUCCAACUCAGCUACUUGUUAGCCGCAUUAGCUUACUCACAGUUAAACCUAACCUUAUUUGACACUCGUGAAAGAAUUAGACCAAUAAACAAACAAUAUUGUUUCACGCGCUGAUCUGUGCUGAAUUUUCAAGAGGUGAUUAAAAAAUCAAAUAGGCUAUCAUAAAAAGAAUAAUAUUUUUAUAAUUUUUUCCAGUGCUAACAAUGCUGAAUUUACAAAAUAAAUAAAUAAAUAAAUAAAUUAAUAAAAUAUUUGAGUAUCUUAAUUUACAGAAUCCAUUGGCCUACUUCCUCACGUUUUACACUUUGCUUAGCAUCAGUGGAGUCACUACAAGGGGGACCAGUCAAUAUCUAUUAUCUUAACAAUAAAGAAAAACUGAAGAAUCUAUUGAUACAAGUAUCCCUUUUAACAACACUGAUGAUAGGUUUCCUGUGCUGAGACACUCGUUUGCGUAAAGACAACAACACAAACAUCAGCUUUUACACACACACAGACACAACACAUUAACAAAUGUCAGUCAGCAGCUCCCAAGAUAGUAGCAGGCAAAUAGCAGUCAUUGGAGGGGGACUGGUAAUGACAGACUAAUGACUGUCAUUUACCAAACUUGGAGGGAGUGGAUUCAUUUGUGUCCAUCUCAGAUUUGUACUUUUUGCUUAUCUUAAAGAUUAUUAAUAUGUCAUCUACAAAUAAGUUUAUAUAUAUUUAUAUAUUUAUUAUAUAUAUAUAUAACUAAGCUGUCUGAUGAUACUCUAUUAUUCUUUGUCAAGGUGGACUAAAGACUACAUGUUCUUUUUUUUCUGUAGAGUCAUUUCACUUCUGAAAAGAAGCAUUUCUUGUUCCCUGCUGCAUUGUGAGAAGCUUUAGACAAAAUCAUUUGUGAUCAUCAUGGAUAACAAUAGCGAAAUAUUUUCAGGGAGGCACAUAAUACCAUCAAUUAUUUUAACUAUGCAAUGCAUUUACUAUUUGUUUCCCACCCAAUACUUUUUUUUCAAAAAUCCAAGAAAAAAAAAGAAAAAUGAUAAAAAUUGAAAGAGCUCAAAAAAGGCGGGGUUGACUUUUUAGCUCAUGAUCUUUCAUAUUUCUGACCUUUAUUAUAAAAGUAGUACCUUAAAAAGACAGUUUAACUUUACAAUCUACUAAUAAAGAUUGUCCAAUAGAUAAGAAAAGCAAAGUAAUAGUACAUUUUAUAUUUAAUAGUUGAUAUAUUUCUUAAGAAAACAUAAUAGUUUUGGGCAAAUCGACUGUUUAAAGUCCCACUCCAAUAAAAGGGUUUUUGGUGUUUUAAAAAAAAAUUGUACAUAAAAUUGAGUUUCUUAGUAUUUUUUAUUCAAAUUUUUGUGAAUCACGACCAGAAAAAAAAAAAAAAAGAAAUCAUUAAAAAAGGCUAAUUUGUUAUCUAGAAAAUGGGGCCAUAAGCUCCCUCCUCUGCGCCAUUCUGAUGCAUCCACUUGUAGACACAUAGAUCCAUGAACGACUUUGUUUUUCUCGUCUGAGCUUGCAAAUAAUUGUAACAUACAUAAUAACAUUAUCGUGAUAAAAAAAAAAAAACUAAAAAUGAUCUUAAAAUAAAUCAAAAGAUGAUCGGAGUAAAUCUUUCAGCAGCACAUUUUUCAAGUAGAGAUCCUAUAUACCUGUUCUUUUUUUAAUCUUCUUUAGAUCCAUUUAACUCCUAUUCUGCUUCAACUGAACUCUAGCUAUACAUGAGCUCACUGUUGAAAUGAAAAGUCCUUAAAUAAAUCUUGCAUGCACAGAAAAUAUAUGAAAUCUUCGUGGCUGACUUGAUUUUUUUUUUUUCUGAUUUGUUCUCUGAGGAGACCCAGACAGGCUGUGCCCUAAAUGAAACACAUUAACAAAGCUCCAGGUCUGAGCGACCUCAUAAUGAGCACCGGACAAAUCGCCUUAUUUGUAUACAUCACCAUGGUGACGCGAACCGCUGUGAGGUGUAGGAAAUCAAAAGCGACAGAUGAAAGGAGGGAUGAAGGAGGAAGCAGAAGAGAAAAACAGCAAUGAUCCCCGUAAUGCUGACACAUACACAAAGGUGUGUGGCUCUAUUCAGAGGGGUCUGUGCUAAUUACUGUGUUUGGACUUGUUUGAGGCUUCUGUUCCCUCUGGCUGACCCCUCACCCUUUCACACACACACAAACCGUCUCUCCGCGGAUGCCAAUGUGUUAUUUCAGCACCUGCAGGCUCGGCGGGGGGAUGCAACGCUGAUGGUUAUGCAUAUUGACAGCAAACAGCAUGAUGGCAGAGGAACAACGCAUGACAUCAGCAGCAUGGGGCUGUCUGGGGAAGGCACGGUAAACGCAAGGGCCAUGGAUUGGCCAAGAGACUAAAUCUCAGAGCCGGCGCCAUUCCUACAAUCAAACCGGAUGAAGACGCCAGACCCGACUUGGGCGAGAGAAGAUCCUGCAGGGCGACGAGGUAAAGAUGGCAACAUCACG
Long non-coding RNA from Oryzias melastigma (Indian medaka), 2709 nucleotides. RefSeq lists it as uncharacterized. NCBI's taxonomy places the organism in Eukaryota, Metazoa, Chordata, Actinopteri, Beloniformes, Adrianichthyidae. The record is from RefSeq and is a predicted model, not a curated record. The transcript is spliced from 3 exons.